GAGCUCAUCAGCUAUCAGACAAGCCUUUAGCACGUGAGUUUUAGGAAACAUUUCAAAUCCAUGACAAAGGGUCUGGUUAAACAAAAUAUAUAUGGAGUUUUUAGAGUACGAUCGAGCUCUGGACCAUGAAACUUCUGGCUUUUCCUCAAAAUCAAAAUGACCACAAAAAGCAAGCAAUUUGAAUUAAUUCAGGACAUCAGAUUAGCUAUGACAACCCACUAAAGACACUCAUGAAAGAGGACUUCGAAAACUGCUUUAGAAAGUGACAAGCAAGAACAACGGG
RNAcentral lists this long non-coding RNA (283 nucleotides) under Fukomys damarensis (Damara mole-rat). Its description in RNAcentral is "lncRNA (ENSFDAG00000032356.1)". The record is from RNAcentral. Lineage: Eukaryota; Metazoa; Chordata; Mammalia; Rodentia; Bathyergidae.